Molecule: ribosomal RNA, 274 nt
Filed under: uncultured bacterium
Lineage: Bacteria
Description: partial 16S ribosomal RNA
Rfam family: Archaeal small subunit ribosomal RNA
Source: RNAcentral
AAACCAGCACCUCAAGUGGUCAGGAGGAUUAUUGGGCCUAAAGCAUCCGUAGCCUGUUCUGUAAGUUUCCGGUUAAAUCCAUUAGCUCAACUAAUGGGCUGCCGAAAAUACUGUAGAACUAGGGAGUGGGAGAGGUAGACGGUAUUCGGUAGGAAGGGGUAAAAUCCUUUGAUCUAUUGAGGACCACCUGUGGCGAGGGCGGUCUACCAGAACACGUUCGACGGUGAGGGAUGAAAGCUGGGGGAGCAAACCGGAUUAGAAACCCCGGUAGUCC